RNAcentral lists this ribosomal RNA (287 nucleotides) under uncultured bacterium. RNAcentral's name for it is "partial 16S ribosomal RNA". It matches the Rfam family "Bacterial small subunit ribosomal RNA", at positions 773 to 1060 of the family's 1533-position model. The record is from RNAcentral.
GUGGAUUAGAUACCCUGGUAGUCCACGCCGUAAACGUUGGGCACUAGGUGUGGGACCUUUCCAACGGGUUCCGUGCCGUAGCUAACGCAUUAAGUGCCCCGCCUGGGGAGUACGGCCGCAAGGCUAAAACUCAAAGGAAUUGACGGGGGCCCGCACAAGCGGCGGAGCAUGUUGCUUAAUUCGAGGCAACGCGAAGAACCUUACCUGGGUUUGACAUGUAGGGAAAAGCUGUAGAGAUGCAGUGUCCUUCGGGGCCCUACACAGGUGGUGCACGGUCGUCGUCAACU